This is a long non-coding RNA of Lemur catta (Ring-tailed lemur), 134 nucleotides long. RefSeq lists it as uncharacterized. The record is from RefSeq and is a predicted model, not a curated record. NCBI's taxonomy places the organism in Eukaryota, Metazoa, Chordata, Mammalia, Primates, Lemuridae. The transcript has 3 exons.
CGUCUGGAUCUGUAGGCGGCGAGGCCGGCAGCUGGAGGAAAGGUAUAAAAGUCUUCAGAGAGAGAGACUAUUUCCUUCCCUGACCAAAACUCUGAGAGAAGAGGCUGUGUAUAAAUUCUGAGUCUCGCUCUGUC